RNAcentral lists this ribosomal RNA (925 nucleotides) under Laburnicola zaaminensis. RNAcentral describes it as "SSU rRNA". It matches the Rfam family "Eukaryotic small subunit ribosomal RNA", at positions 122 to 1056 of the family's 1831-position model. Lineage: Eukaryota; Fungi; Ascomycota; Dothideomycetes; Pleosporales; Didymosphaeriaceae. The record is from RNAcentral.
UGAUAGUACCUUACUACUUGGAUAACCGUGGUAAUUCUAGAGCUAAUACAUGCUAAAAGCCCCAACUUCGGGAGGGGUGUAUUUAUUAGAUAAAAAACCAAUGCCCUUCGGGGCUCUUUGGUGAUUCAUGAUAACUUCUCAGAUCGCAUGGCCUUGCGUCGGCGACGGUUCAUUCAAAUUUCUGCCCUAUCAACUUUCGAUGGUAAGGUAUUGGCUUACCAUGGUUUCUACGGGUAACGGGGAAUUAGGGUUCGAUUCCGGAGAGCGAGCCUGAGAGACGGCUAGCACAUCCAAGGAAGGCAGCAGGCGCGCAAAUUACACAAUUCCAAUUCGGAGAUGUAGUGACAAUAAAUACUGAUACAGGGCUCUUUUGGGUCUUGUAAUUGGAAUGAGUACAAUUUAAACCUCUUAACGAGGAACAAUUGGAGGGCAAGUCUGGUGCCAGCAGCCGCGGUAAUUCCAGCUCCAAUAGCGUAUAUUAAAGUUGUUGCAGUUAAAAAGCUCGUAGUUGAACCUUUGGCCUGGCUGGCAGGUCCGCCUCACCGCGUGCACUUGUCCGGCCGGGCCUUUUCUUCUGGAGAACCGCAUGCCCUUUACUGGGUGUGUUGGGGACCAGGACUUUUACUUUGAAAAAAUUAGAGUGUUCAAAGCAGGCCUUUGCUCGAAUACGUUAGCAUGGAAUAAUAGAAUAGGACGUGCGGUCCUAUUUUGUUGGUUUCUAGGACCGCCGUAAUGAUUAAUAGGGACAGUCGGGGGCAUCAGUAUUCAAUUGUCAGAGGUGAAAUUCUUGGAUUUAUUGAAGACUAACUACUGCGAAAGCAUUUGCCAAGGAUGUUUUCAUUAAUCAGUGAACGAAAGUUAGGGGAUCGAAGACGAUCAGAUACCGUCGUAGUCUUAACCAUAAACUAUGCCGACUAGGGAUCGG